AUUACGGUUCGCGCCAACGGCCGCCUGCUGACUCCCGUAGGAACGUUAUUCGGAAUCACUGGGCUUAAAGGGCGCGUAGGCGGCCGAGCGGGUCACGGGUGAAAUCCUCCAGCUUAACUGGAGAACUGCCCUUGAUACCACUGCGGCUCGAGGAAGGAAGGGGCAAUCGGAACUGUCGGUGGAGCGGUGAAAUGCGUUGAUAUCGACAGGAACGCCGGUGGCGAAAGCGGAUUGCUGGUCCUUUUCUGACGCUGAGGCGCGAAAGCCAGGGGAGCAAACGGGAUUAGAUACCCCGGUAGUCCUGGCCUUAAACGAUGAGAACUAGGUAGUGGGUCCGACCUGGGCACACUGCCGAAGCGAAAGUCUUAAGUUCUCCGCCUGGGGAGUAUGGUCGCAAGGCUGAAACUCAAAGGCAUUGACGGGGGCUCACACAAGCGGUGGAGCAUGUGGCUUAAUUCGAGGCUACGCGAAGAACCUUACCCAGGGCUUGACAUGUGCGAAAGCGCCAAGUGUACCUGGCUGAAAGGUCA
Molecule: ribosomal RNA, 530 nt
Filed under: uncultured bacterium
Lineage: Bacteria
Description: bacterial SSU rRNA
Rfam family: Bacterial small subunit ribosomal RNA
Source: RNAcentral